RNAcentral lists this ribosomal RNA (318 nucleotides) under Oenococcus oeni. Its description in RNAcentral is "bacterial LSU rRNA". It matches the Rfam family "Bacterial large subunit ribosomal RNA", at positions 1 to 324 of the family's 2925-position model. The record is from RNAcentral. Lineage: Bacteria; Bacillati; Bacillota; Bacilli; Lactobacillales; Lactobacillaceae.
AUAGGUUAAGUUAAUAAGGGCGCAUGGUGGAUGCCUUGGAACUAGAAGGCGAUGAAGGACGUGACUAACUACGAUAUGCCUCGGUUAGCUGUAAGUAAGCUUACCCGGGGGUUUCCGAAUGGGGCAACCCGAUCUUAAUGAUCAUCAUCUUUUUGAAUUCAUAGAUUAGAUGAAGCAAAYGCUGUGAACUGAAACAUCUAAGUAGCAGUAGGAAAGUAAAGAAAUUUCGAUUCCGUCAGUAGCGGCGAGCGAACGCGGAAGAGCCCAAACCUGGAUGCUUGCAUCCAGGGGUUGUAGGACUGAUGUUGAGUUACAAAG